Molecule: long non-coding RNA, 2906 nt
Organism: Apis cerana (Asiatic honeybee)
Lineage: Eukaryota; Metazoa; Arthropoda; Insecta; Hymenoptera; Apidae
Source: RefSeq, a predicted model, not a curated record
GCUCGCAUAAUUGAACGUACGCGAGGUGCAAAAUCGCUAGCGGUAAAUUUUAAGUGGACGAUAAUAUAGUUGACUUUCACCAGCGAAAAAUAUUGAAAUGUCUUCUCGGUGGAUGAUUAUAUAGACAUGAUCUUGGUAUAGAGAAAACACUCGAUUCGUAAAAUUUUUAAAAAUAUUGGAACUUCUAUUAUCUUUACACGAGUAUUCAAACUUAGAUGCCAGAAAUAUUACAUCAAAUUCUAUAUAAAAAAAUCUAUCGCAAACAUAACCUCACCCUUUACCAUUGUAAAUGUUUUAAUCACGGUUGGUAAAAAAAUUAUUAUAUCGAAUAUUCAGAAAUAAAGUAUACGUAAUACGUAAUAUUAACGUAAGAUUCAGAUAUAAUUGUUUCAAGAAAUUCGCCGAGAAAUACCCACGAAAAAAAAAAUAUAUACAUAUAGAAGAAGAUACAGCGGAAUCUAUACCAAUGGAUCCACAAAUCAUAUCCUCACAACCCAGCGACAAAUAUCCGCCAUAAUCCAAUAAAGGAUAUCUUUCCAACGAGCCGUCGAAAAGCGCAUGAAACUUUCCGUGCUCCGAUAAAUCAACCCUUUCCCCUUCCCCAAUAAGAGAACCAGCCGGACAACAAGCAGAGGGUUGAAGAACAUGCACGAAAAUAAAAACGAGGAUUAAAAACACGCGUUCGAGAGAAAGAAAAAGAAAACGCUCGAAUGGGAAGGAAGAGUAGUAGUAGUAGGAGGAGGAGGAGGAGAAGGGUUCCGGACAAGAGGAAGAGGAUCCCAAAGAGGCGUCCAGGCAACGAAAGGACGGAGCAAGGAGGAAGGGAACCCGCAUGUGACAUUCGAGACACUCCCUUGGUCCUUCUUCUUCCUCCAAUGAUCCCCUUGAAAGCGAACGAGAGAGAGAGAGAGAGAGAGAGAGAGAGAGAGAGAGAGAGAAGGGGAGAUUGAAUCGUCUCGAGCCAGCUGGUGCACACCUCUUCUUCUUCCUCCUUCUCCCCUUAAUCCCUUUCCAUCCUUACUCGCUCACGAAGAAGACGGCCGGGUCCUCCUCCUGGCCGUGACGUGCCGUAUUGUGGACUUUUCUCAAACAGGACAAAAGGAUUCCCCCGGUAAGGGGAGAACCCUCGCUCCCCAGCAACGUCCAUCCAGAAGAGCACGUGUGCGCGCGCGUCUCGUCGGCCAGUUAAGAGAAAAAUUACUCGGUGAAAGAGGAAAAGGUAGCGGAAAUACGGGGCAAGGGAAUUCUGGUCUUGAACAGUAUAAGCGGUAGCAAGAGAUUAUAAAAGGUCGGGUGGCUCUUGUGGGACCACUCGAAGUCAAGAGAAAGAGAGAGAGGAACAAGUGUUUUUUUCAGUCUCCGAGUCAAAUAUUUUUACAGAACGAAGGAGAUCGGGAGGGAGACGCACAUUUUUCUUCAAACUUGAGGAGAAUUAUUCCACCAAUCCGUGAUCGCUUGGAAAACACGCAGGUGCAAGUAUGCAUUUUCCAUACUUGGAUUAACAACCGUAAGUAAUUGAAAACAGCUUGUUCUCUCUUGCUUCUUCUUCAACGGACCAAGGAUGUUCUUUCAGUCGCUCUCUGAUCUUCCUCUUUGAUUACACGGUCCGAUGAGCUGGUUUACGCGUUACACGUAAACACUGUGAAGUGGGCGACGAGCCGGACUGUUAUGGGGAAAAAAUGGCCGCCACUGGGGGAACUCUCUUGAUAAAAGCGGAAACUACUUUUCGGUAGCGAUUUGCUAUCGACGAUCACAUAGAUUAACCAUCUUCCUUUUUAGGGACGAGUCGAUGUCGCCCCCUAUUUCUCGACGACGAACGAAUAAAAAUGGAAAGGAAGAAUGGGAGAAAGGUGGAGGAGUGCUUGGAAAUAUACGGAUAAUUGGUUCGAGAUCGAGGACUAAGACGAAAACGACGACGACGACUAUCCAUUAAGGCGUGUUUUUCCAGUCGAAGGAUAAUAUUUUGAUUGUUCCAACCUAUGCAAACACGAAUAUUCGAGCGGCAGCAAUAACAUCCCAUUUGCAAACAACCUGGAACGCUUUUGGCCCAGCCUUGUCGUCCUUUCGAUUCCAAAAAAAAAAAACUUUUUUCAAACAACCUCGAGAAAAGAUGAAAUUUUCUUAGUAUCAUCUUUCGUUCCCUUAUAAAAAAAAAAAAAUCUCUGCAAUUAACGGAGGAAGAAAAGAAAAAGAAUUUUCAAAAUUUCAUCCAUCUUUUAUCUCUCGAGAUCUAGCGCGUUCGUCUCAAAUCGUAUCAGAGAGAGGAAGAUAAAUUUUGUUUAUGGAAUGUUUUAUAUGCGUUAACGAGUUUCUCUCUUCAAAAAUCUUCUUUUCCUCUCCUGUGAGGAAAAACAACUUUCCUUUCGAAAAAUACCGAUAUACAGAGUCGAGACGAUGUCACGACGAUGUUACUUCACGAAGAAAAAAGAAUUCUUCUUCAGAAGACAGAAAUGGCCGAUCGAAGCUGACAACGAACAGUUUAAUUUGGUCGGUUCGAGAAUACUCCGCCGGGACAAGUUCAUCCGACACAAAUUUGGCGCGACUCGACUCCUUCUCCUCUUCCCUCCCUUUCUUUUUUCGAAUCGAAGGAAUCGCGACUGUUCCACCUGGCUAUAUGAUAAUAUCUUCGACAUCGAAUCGAUCCGAGGGAAUCGUGGUUCCGUUUUGAGGGCGUCAUUCAUAGGUAAACACACAAUAGGUUAGAAAUACACCUAUUUAAUCCGCAUAUUUUUCGUCCGAUCUGAUUUUUAUUUUGCUUCUUCUGUACACAUUCAGCGAGUCACAGUUGGAAAAAUCGUAAAAACACGUUUAAUAAAAAAGUGAAAAAAAGAUGAGUAUAUUCUAAAUGUAUCUUUGUAUUUAUAGUAAUAUAAAAAUAUAUAGAUAUUUCUAUGUGAAAGAUAAAA